GGUGGUGCGAGAGCUUUUCAUCUUGUUAUUUUCCUGGCAAGCCUGGGAGUGCAGGCUCACACGGAGACCUUUACAACGGCAGCAGGAGAUAUUAGCUGGGAGUGUAAGAGAAUUGGAUGUGACUAUUGGAAGCAAGCGGUUCUUGCCACUGUGUUCCCCUGGGGCUUGAAGCUUGCUUUCUUUUCAUCCUUUCUGAACACUUCUUUUCUAAGUUCACAGUGUCUCUUCAGCUUCCUCUAAGCAGAGAACAAACCUGUCUCCUCUCAGGGCUCCAGA
Neopsephotus bourkii (Bourke's parrot) is the source of this 276-nucleotide long non-coding RNA. RefSeq lists it as uncharacterized. The record is from RefSeq and is a predicted model, not a curated record. Lineage: Eukaryota; Metazoa; Chordata; Aves; Psittaciformes; Psittacidae. The transcript has 3 exons.